CCGUGAACGACUACUUCCUUCGUACCGAACUCGAUCUGCUCCGAAAUGCACGCUUCAAAGGUAUAACCCCGAGACGACCGCCCGUGAACGAUUGCAUGUGUUGUAUGAGAUGCACCCUAUGUUUGGACCGUGCCCGUUUGUCCUUGCAAGUUCCUCCUCGUUUGCCAUGCCGUCGACCCGUGGGAACCCGGUAAUCUGGGAUCACCCCACCAUCUUGCAUGACUUGCCCACACUUGUUCCUUUGCACCGGUAUCUCACUUUCGGAUAUGUGGUCGUGGCAUCAUUUUCGGAUAUGUUGCCGUGGGACCAUUUCCGUUUCACCGCCGUGGCACCUUUUUCCUUCCGCCAUGGUGACUAAUGCCUCGUAUCAUGCUCAUGUCAACAUUUUCAUAAAAUUGCAUAAAACUUGUAUAUGUCAUCCGCAUCAUGAUAACAACAUUUAAAAUGUUUAAAAUUGUGUUUGCAUUAAAUUGCUAAAUGACAUAUGGGGAUUUUUCGGAAUUGUUAUUUGUUGUUUCCGGCCUCAUUUAAACUUGCCUAAAUAGUUAGUUCAAUUAUGCUUCACCUCUUGCCAUGCUUAACAACAUUUAAUAUUGUUUGGUAACUUAAACAAGAGAGAAGUAAAUAAUUGAUGUGGUGUUUCGUCAAUAUGCAACUCGUUGCAUAUUGAGCUCCCCUUAAAUUGUAGUGUUGUUUGCUUUACCUUGCCAUGCCAUGCCUCAUUAAAUCGGACACGCAUCAUAUUUGGUUGUGCAUCAUGCCAUGAUUAUGUUUGUGUGUUUACCAUGUUGUUUUGCUUCUUUCCGGUUUGCUUCUCUCGUUAGCUUCGGUUUCAUUCCGGAGUUGUGAGGAUUCGUUCGACUACGUCCGUUUGUCUUCUUCAUGGACUCAUUCUUCUUCCUAUCGGGAUUUCAGGCAAGAUGACUAUUAUCCUUGAUAUCACUUCUAUCUUUGCUUGCUAGUUGCUUCGUUCUAUCGCUAUGCUGUGCUACCUAUCACUUGUUUACCAUGCCUCCAACCUUUUCACCCUUCCUAGCAAACCGUUGCUUGGCUAUGUUACCGAUUUGCUCAGCCCCUCUUAUAGCAUUGUUAGUUGCAGGUGAAGUUGAAGAUUUCUCCAUGGUGGACAGGAUUAUGAUUGGGAUAUCACAAUAUCUCUUAUAUUAUUAAUGCAUCUAUAUAUUUGGUAAAGGGUGGAAGACUCAGCCUUUUGCCUGGUGUUUUGUUCCACUCUUGCCGCCCUAGUUUCCGUCAUACCGGUGUUAUGUUCCCGGAUUUUGUGUUCCUUACGUGGUUGGGUGAUUUAUGGGACCCCGUUGACAGUUCGCUUUGAAUAAAACUCCUCCAGCAAGGCCCAACCUUCGUUUUAACAUUUGCCACCUAAGCCUUUUUCCCUUGGGUUCUGCAGACUCAAGGGUCAUCUUUAUUUUACCCCCCCCAGGGCCAGUGCUCAUCGUGAGUGUUGGUCCAACCUGUCAACCGCCGGUGGCCACCAGGGGCAACUCUGGGCUGGCCUACCGGAAGUUUGGACAAUCCGGUGUGCCCUGAGAAUGAGAUAUGUGCAGCUCCUAUCGGGAUUUGUCGGCACAGCGGGAGGCUUUGCUGGUCUUGUUUUACCAUUGCCGAAAUGUCUUGUAAACAGGGAUUCUGAGUCUGAUCGGGUCUUCCUGGGAGAAGGUAUAUCCUUCGUUGAUCGCGAGAGCUUAUCAUGGGCUAAGUUGGGACACCCCUACAGGGUAUAAUCUUUCGAAAGCCGUGCCUGCGGUUAUAGGCAGAUGGGAAUUUGUUAAUGUCCGAUUGUAGUUAACUUGACACUUGACCUCUUUAAAAUACAGCAACCGCGUGUGCCGCCGUGAUGGUCUCUUUUCGGCGGAGUCCGGGAAGUGAACACGGUUUCGUGUUAUGUUUGACGUAAGUAGGAGUUCAGGAUCACUUCUUGAUCAUUGCUAGUUCACGACCGUUCCAUUUGCUCUCUUCUCGCUCUUAUUUGCGUAUGUUAGCCACCAUAUAUGCUUAGUCGCUGCUGCAACCUCACCACUUUACCACUUCCUACCCAUAAGCUUAAAUAGUCUUGAUCUCGCGGGUUUUGAGAUUGCUGAGUCCUCGUGACUCACCAGAUACUAUCACAACAGUUGCAGGUGCCGAUGAUACCAGUGCAGGUGAUGCAACCGAGCUCAGAUGGGAGCUCAAUGAAGACCUUGGUCGUUGCUAUGUUUCGUUUGAUGUUGAUCAAUAGUGGAUCCCAGUUGGGACGAUCGGGGAUCUAGCAGUUGGGUUAUCUUCUUUUCUUUUGGCUUCGUCCGUAGUCGGACAAUGUGUGUACUCUGAAUUAUGUAUGAUUUAUUUAUGUUCAUUGUGUGAAGUGGCGAUUGUAAGCCAACUCUUUAUCCCAGUCUUGUUCAUUACAUGGGAUUGUGUGAAGAUGACCCUUCUUGCGACAAAACCACAAUGCGGUUAUGCCUCUAAGUCAUGCUUCGACACGUGGGAGAUAUAGCCGCAUCAUGGGUGUUACAUGUAUCAACAUGAUCCCACCAAGUUCAUCUACCAACAUGAAAGCGUCAUAAUCCCCCAAAGUGUCUUAGAUAAUUCCUGAAGGUCACUAAUAUAAACUCAUCAACUCAUUUGUCCUCUAUUCUCAUAUCCUCAAAUUGGUCUUCCCUAUGGAAUAGUCAGUUCUGGUGCUAUAUUAGGACCGUAAUGUGCUAGUUCACUAUGUCCACUAGUUUACUAAUGAACCCUAUACUAAUCAAAGGUUGUUGGGGCUCAACUGGUUCUCCUACAAUUAUGUGGAUUAAGCACUUGGUUUAGAAUUCGAGCUGGGGUAUCUCGUGAAGUAUCGAAGUGUCUAGGGAUGUGUUUCUAUUCUGGAGGGUUAAACAUAACUCUAUGGGGUUACACCUCGUCGAGGAGGCGGUAGCAAAAGUCUUCAUUGCUAGUUUAUUGCCGAGGUACAAUCCUUGGUGUAUCUUGUCUUGCUGGUCUUCAGUUGAGGAGAGAGAUUAGAUGAAAAAAUAGCAUAGAGGAGGGGAAUGCCAAAAGGGGGUUCUAUAGUGCAAGUGCAAACAAACAGGUGCAAAAAGGGCCAAACAAAAGAAACAAGGUAAGGAAUUUGAUAUAGUCGCACACUUGUUGCCUAGGGAAAAAGUGCGACCUAUAUCAAAACACAAACAAAUAAAAACAAGCAACACACAAUUAUGGUACUAUUCGAACCAUCAUACGGCCUCGACUGUGCAUAGGGGGUACACGACUCAUCAUACCCUAGGGGAUCUCGGACUUAGUUGUCAUGCUUUGCUCCGUGUCUCAUGCAAUCUUCUAGAUUUUCCUCAGGUCUCGCUACAUCUCUUGUAGUUCUGUAAUGAAAUGAUCCGGGUUGAGCCUGAAAAGUCUUCAACAACUUCUUGCCUGUUGAAGUGAUGGGGUUUAUGAAUUAUUUAUGGAUUUUACAUGUUUUCCAAAAAAAGAAAAGAAAA
RNAcentral lists this long non-coding RNA (3470 nucleotides) under Triticum aestivum (bread wheat). RNAcentral describes it as "long non-coding RNA (TAES_LNC003082)". Lineage: Eukaryota; Viridiplantae; Streptophyta; Magnoliopsida; Poales; Poaceae. The record is from RNAcentral.